RNAcentral lists this ribosomal RNA (850 nucleotides) under Microbacterium sp. Its description in RNAcentral is "bacterial SSU rRNA". It matches the Rfam family "Bacterial small subunit ribosomal RNA", at positions 86 to 947 of the family's 1533-position model. The record is from RNAcentral. Lineage: Bacteria; Bacillati; Actinomycetota; Actinomycetes; Micrococcales; Microbacteriaceae.
GGUGGAUCAGUGGCGAACGGGUGAGUAACACGUGAGCAACCUGCCCCUGACUCUGGGAUAAGCGCUGGAAACGGCGUCUAAUACUGGAUAUGUGACGUGACCGCAUGGUCUGCGUUUGGAAAGAUUUUUCGGUUGGGGAUGGGCUCGCGGCCUAUCAGCUUGUUGGUGAGGUAAUGGCUCACCAAGGCGUCGACGGGUAGCCGGCCUGAGAGGGUGACCGGCCACACUGGGACUGAGACACGGCCCAGACUCCUACGGGAGGCAGCAGUGGGGAAUAUUGCACAAUGGGCGCAAGCCUGAUGCAGCAACGCCGCGUGAGGGAUGACGGCCUUCGGGUUGUAAACCUCUUUUAGCAGGGAAGAAGCGAAAGUGACGGUACCUGCAGAAAAAGCGCCGGCUAACUACGUGCCAGCAGCCGCGGUAAUACGUAGGGCGCAAGCGUUAUCCGGAAUUAUUGGGCGUAAAGAGCUCGUAGGCGGUUUGUCGCGUCUGCUGUGAAAUCCCGAGGCUCAACCUCGGGCCUGCAGUGGGUACGGGCAGACUAGAGUGCGGUAGGGGAGAUUGGAAUUCCUGGUGUAGCGGUGGAAUGCGCAGAUAUCAGGAGGAACACCGAUGGCGAAGGCAGAUCUCUGGGCCGUAACUGACGCUGAGGAGCGAAAGGGUGGGGGAGCAAACAGGCUUAGAUACCCUGGUAGUCCACCCCGUAAACGUUGGGAACUAGUUGUGGGGUCCAUUCCACGGAUUCCGUGACGCAGCUAACGCAUUAAGUUCCCCGCCUGGGGAGUACGGCCGCAAGGCUAAACUCAAAGGAAUUGACGGGGACCCGCCACAGCGGCGGAGCAUGCGGAUU